RNAcentral lists this ribosomal RNA (497 nucleotides) under uncultured bacterium. RNAcentral describes it as "partial 16S ribosomal RNA". It matches the Rfam family "Bacterial small subunit ribosomal RNA", at positions 28 to 508 of the family's 1533-position model. The record is from RNAcentral.
GAUGAACGCUGGCGGCGUGCCUAAUACAUGCAAGUCGAGCGAACAGACGAGGAGCUUGCUCCUCUGACGUUAGCGGCGGACGGGUGAGUAACACGUGGAUAACCUACCUAUAAGACUGGGAUAACUUCGGGAAACCGGAGCUAAUACCGGAUAAUAUAUUGAACCGCAUGGUUCAAUAGUGAAAGACGGUUUUGCUGUCACUUAUAGAUGGAUCCGCGCCGCAUUAGCUAGUUGGUAAGGUAACGGCUUACCAAGGCAACGAUGCGUAGCCGACCUGAGAGGGUGAUGGCCAACACUGGACCUGGAACCCGGACAAGCUCCCUAGGGGAGGCGCCAGAGGGAAUCUUCCCGCAAGGGGGGAAACCGUACGGGACCAACUCGGCGUGAUGGAUAAGGGUCUUGGUAUCGAAAAACUGUUUUAUAAGGAAAAAAAAAAUGUAAAAGAAAUUAUGCCCUUCUGGAGGUUCCUUAAUAAGAAGCCCAGGCAAACCCAGGUC